RNAcentral lists this ribosomal RNA (756 nucleotides) under uncultured bacterium. Its description in RNAcentral is "bacterial SSU rRNA". It matches the Rfam family "Bacterial small subunit ribosomal RNA", at positions 8 to 796 of the family's 1533-position model. The record is from RNAcentral.
AGAGUUUGAUCCUGGCUCAGAAUCAACGCUGGCGGCGUGCCUAACACAUGCAAGUCGCACGAGAAAGGGUAGCAAUACCUGAGUAAAGUGGCGCACGGGUGAGUAACACGUGAAUUAUCUACCUCCGAGUGGGGAAUAACCUAGAGAAAUCUGGGCUAAUACCGCAUAACACUUACGAGUCAAAGCAGCAAUGCGCUUGGAGAGGAGUUCGCGGCCGAUUAGCUAGUUGGCGGGGUAAUGGCCCACCAAGGCGAUGAUCGGUAUCCGGCCUGAGAGGGCGCACGGACACACUGGAACUGAAACACGGUCCAGACUCCUACGGGAGGCAGCAGUGGGGAAUUUUGCGCAAUGGGGGAAACCCUGACGCAGCAACGCCGCGUGGAGGAUGAAAUAUCUUGGUAUGUAAACUCCUUUCGAUGGGGAAGAUUAUGACGGUACCCAUAGAAGAAGCCCCGGCUAACUUCGUGCCAGCAGCCGCGGUAAUACGAGGGGGGCAAGCGUUGUUCGGAUUUAUUGGGCGUAAAGGGUGCGUAGGCGGUUUGGCAAGUCUUAUGUGAAAUCUAUGGGCUCAACCCAUAGUCUGCAUAAGAAACUGCCGGGCUUGAGUAUGGGAGAGGUGAGUGGAAUUUCCGGUGUAGCGGUGAAAUGCGUAGAUAUCGGAAGGAACACCUGUGGCGAAAGCGGCUCACUGGACCAUAACUGACGCUGAGGCACGAAAGCUAGGGGAGCAAACAGGAUUAGAUACCCCCGUAGUCC